UUAAAAAAACCUCUCAACCCUUUAGUCCUCCGACCAUUGGUCGGUCAUCGGACCCUCGCCGGCCACCGUACCGGCCGCCUAUCUCCGGCGCCGGUACCAUCGUCCACGGUGGCCGGAAAAAAAAAUUCCCCUUUUAACCUUCUUAACCUCUUGAGCGUAGAUCCGGGCUCAAACCUCGCGAAAUAUUGACGAAUGGGCCUCUAGAAGCAAAAAAACCUUUCGGCUUCCGGUCGUCAAUCCUCGGUGACGACUUCCUUGGCCAUCCACGGCGGUUAGGGGCCUAAAACAGGUGUAGAUCGUGAAGAUUCGGGGGUGAGGCAAGGCUCGACUGCGGCGCUGUUGAAGAUUAGAAACCCUAGGGUUUUAUCCGUUUUGGGCCAUUGUAAUUUGGGCCACCACUUUAUUUUGGUUUGGGCCUUGUAGCCCGUUUUGUAUUUGGACACUAUGGCUGUUUUUUUAUUUACAAAAGGGACGGGUAAAAUUUAGGUAUUACAAACGUAUUUUAAAUA
This is a long non-coding RNA of Gossypium raimondii (Peruvian cotton), 509 nucleotides long. RefSeq lists it as uncharacterized. The transcript is spliced from 2 exons. Lineage: Eukaryota; Viridiplantae; Streptophyta; Magnoliopsida; Malvales; Malvaceae. The record is from RefSeq and is a predicted model, not a curated record.